CUGAGUUCCUUGCUCCCUAUGGCAUUCCCACUUCCGUUCAGGCUUUGUCACGCGUAAUGUGUUGAAUACCUCAAGGCUAACUUGUUGUUUUUAUAGUCUUAGAGAGGCGAAUUGGCGCUGGAGAUUGGUGCUAGUGGCUGAAUGAUGUGUGUGUAUAUCGAGCUGCGGUACCUGUGAGUGAUCAUACAACUUUGUGUCUGGUAUUUGUUCAAGCUAAUGGAGGUAGUGAGUCUUGGUGGGAAAGCUAGCUGCAUUUAUUCGGUGGUGUGUGCUCAGCGUGCCAACACAACAACCAACAACGUGUGUGUGUGUGUGUGUGUGUGUGUGUGUGUGUGUGUGUGUGUGUGUGUGUGUGUGUGUGUGUGUGUGGUUUUUCUUUUAUUUUUGUGUGUGAGACUUGCAGUGGGUUUGGAUGACUUCCUGAGUUGUAGCUGGCCUGCCUUGUCCCUACCGGGCCUGGAGAAGUUCUUAGUCUUUAAAAUGCUUGUGCUUCAUGGGAAAGUGAUUGAUUUAUAUUUUCAUGUCAAGUUUUAAAUGAUACUUAAGUGUCAUAAUAAAAUAUAAUUCUUAUAUUUGUA
This is a long non-coding RNA of Ictalurus punctatus (channel catfish), 578 nucleotides long. RefSeq lists it as uncharacterized. The transcript is spliced from 2 exons. Lineage: Eukaryota; Metazoa; Chordata; Actinopteri; Siluriformes; Ictaluridae. The record is from RefSeq and is a predicted model, not a curated record.